CCACAAUGCGCGAAAGCGUGAUGGGGGGAUCCUGAGUGCUUACAUUAAUUGUAAGCUUUUGCCAAGAGCAAAUAUCUUGGAGAAUAAGUGGUGGGAAAGACCGGUGCCAGCAGCCGCGGUAACCCCGGCGCCACAAGUGGCAAUCUUAUAUUGGGCCUAAAGCAUUCGUAGCCGGUUUGAAAAAUCUCUUGUGAAAUUGUUGAACUCAAUACAACAGCAUGCAGGAGACACUUUCAAGCUAGAGACUGGGAGGAGUUAGGGGUAUUUCUGGGGGAGCGGUUAAAUGUGAUAAUCCUAGAAAGACCACCUGUGGCGAAGGCGCCUAACUAGAACAGUUCUGACGGUGAGGGAUGAAAGCUAGGGUAGCGAUCCGG
This 374-nucleotide ribosomal RNA is filed under the name uncultured archaeon. RNAcentral's name for it is "bacterial SSU rRNA". It matches the Rfam family "Archaeal small subunit ribosomal RNA", at positions 350 to 727 of the family's 1478-position model. The record is from RNAcentral.